Non-coding RNA from Biomphalaria pfeifferi, 261 nucleotides. NCBI's taxonomy places the organism in Eukaryota, Metazoa, Mollusca, Gastropoda, Planorbidae. The record is from the annotation of a GenBank genome assembly.
UGGAAAUCUAAACAAAAGGUCCUUAAAGAUAAAAAUAUAAUUGAUAAAGAAAAUAAUUUCAAGACUAAUAUGAGUGAAAGCAUGCCUGGGCAAAAUAGUAUGAAACAAUUAGUUAGAGAUAGCAGUACAUUAACUUUUCCUUAUCAUACUAUUUGAAGUUAUGUAGGAAAUAAGAUAGUUAAGAAUGUACAGCUUAUACAGUGAUUGAAAAGUCAAUAAUUUCUUUAAUUGCCUAACCUUGAGUUGGGUAAAAAGUUCCUC